GGAGUCCGGGGAGUGGCGUUGGCUGCUAGAGCGAUGCCGGGCCGGAGUCGCGUCGCCUUAGUCCUCCUGGCUGCCGCCGUCAGCUGUGCCGUCGCGCAGCACGCGCCGCCGUGGACAGAGGACUGCAGAAAAUCAACCUAUCCUCCUUCAGGACCGACGUACAGAGGUCCAGUUCCAUGGUACACCAUAAAUCUUGACUUACCACCCUACAAAAGAUGGCAUGAAUUGAUGCUUGACAAGGCACCGAUGCUAAAGGUUAUAGUGAAUUCUCUGAAGAAUAUGAUAAAUACAUUCGUGCCAAGUGGAAAAAUUGUGCAGGUGGUGGAUGAAAAAUUGCCUGGCCUACUUGGCAACUUUCCUGGCCCUUUUGAAGAGGAAAUGAAGGGUAUUGCCGCUGUUACUGAUAUACCUUUAGGUAAAGUUCACUUAGAAGCUUUAAAAAAAAAAAUAAUUAAAUUCUUUUACAAGUUUCCAUUGAGGUGUGAUAUACAUACAGCAAAGUGCACAGGUCUUAGAUAUACAGCUCAGUGAAGCUUCAGAAAUGCAUGCAUGCAUGUAGCCAUGACUCAGAUCAAGAUACGGAAGAGCCCAGCACUCCACGAUGCUCCAUCAUGCCCCUUUGCAGAAAAUACUGCCUCCUCCAGUAAACACUAUUCUGAUGUCACUAUAGAUUAGUUUUGCCUCUUCGUGAACUUUGUAUAAAUAGAACUGAACAAUAUGAACUGUCCUGUGUGAUUUCUUGUAUUUCAUUAUGGGUGGUGUGCUAUUGUAUCAGCAGGGUAUUUGGGUAGUUUUCAGAUUUGUGAUAUUAACAAUAAAGGAAUUAUAAAUAUUGUAGUACAUUUUGGGGGGGUUCUAGGUACUCAUUUUCUGGAUAUAUACCUAGGAAGUGAACUGUUGUGUUAUAGAGUAAUUGUGUGUUUAGCCUUAUAGAUUCUGCCAAACAGUUUUCCAAAGUGAUUCCAGCAGUUGACAAUCAGCAGAGUAUGAGAGUUUCAGUUUUCUCCUAUGAUAAUUCUCCUCUCGAUAGUGUCAGUCUUUUCUUUUUCCUUUUUUUUUUUGUUAGUGUCAAUCUUUAUUUGAGCCUUUUUGUUGAGUGUCACAGUAUCGCAUUUUAGUUUCAAUUUGCAUUUCCUUGAUGACUAAUGAGAUUGAACAGUUUAUUGACUUUUUUUUUUUGGUUUCUUUGUUUCUUUUGGAGAAGGGCUUGUGAAGGUCUUUUGCCCUUUUAAAAAUUAGACUGAAGGAAUUUUUUACAUACUUUGAAUAUAAGCCCUUUGUCAGAUAUAUGGAUUCUGAAUAUCUGCUCCCAGUCUAUGACUUUCAUUUUUAUUCUCUUACUUUUGUCUUUUGAUGAACAGAAAUUUUUAAUUUUAGUGAAGUCUAAUAUCUCAGUCUUCUCUUUUAUGAGUAGUGCCUUUUGUAUCCAUUUAAGGAAUCUUGGCCUACCCCAAAGUCAUAUAUAUAUGCUUAUAUAUUUUCUUCUAGAUGUUUAAUGUUUACUUUUUACAUUUAGGCCUAUCAUCUAUUUUGAAUUAUUUUUGUAUAUGCUAUGACUUAUGGGUCAAGCUUCAGGUUUUUCUCAUAUGGUAUAUCCAGUUAGUUAAACACUAUCAAUUCAAAAGGCUAUCCUUUCCUCAGCAAAUUGCAGUGAUGUGUUUGAUAUAAAUAUACAAUACAUAUGUAUAUACACACACACACACACAAUGUGUAUCUGUAUAUACAAUCAGGUGAUUGUAUAUAUGUUGUUUUGUUUGGGGAAUUAAGUUUCAUUUACAUAUUUGUCUUUUUGUCUUCCCUUAUAUCAAUACUAUUUCACCUCAGUUACUAAAGCUUUAUAGUAAGUCUUCAAAUUAGGUGGUAUAAUUCUUCCAACUUUGUUUUUCUCAAUAUUUAUUUAAGUUACUGAUUUCUCUGAGCAGUAUCUUUUAUUUUCAGGGAGAAGACCUUGCAUGUCAUUCGUUAAAAUUAUUCUUAGAUAUUGAUGGUUUGGGAAGCUAUUUUUAAAAUUUCAAUUUAAGCUUUAUGGCAUGUAACGAAAAAGAUUUUCCCCAUGACCCCAAAAGUUUUAUCUUUAAGCUAGCAAAGCAGUAGUGUCAUUAUUUUAAAUAGCCAACAGUACCUUCAUUUGAUAAGAGAGAUGAUUGAGAAUUUGUGAAAAUCAGUAGUAUUUAUCAACAAAAGUGGCUAGUUUUGUGUGCUGCUUCUUUAAAAAAAUCAUUUAAAAGAUAGCAUACUGGAAAUAUGUACUUGCUGCCUUUAUGGAGAGCAAGUCUAAUUCCUUUAUUAUGUAAAGAACUCUAGCAACUCAAUACCAAAUAGCUUACCAAAAAUACCUUAUGGAUUAAGAAUAACAUCAUAUAUAAGUGGUGUAAAUUUAUAUAAUUAUUAUAAAUUAUUAUAAAUGUAUAAUAAAAUAACUAGAAUUUCACCAAAUUAGAAAUUUAAUGGAAAUAAAAUAAACAUUGGAUUUGGGUGAAAAAAACAUGUUGAGCUUAACAUGUUAAUGUUAAAUGGGACAGAAAUACAAUGUGCUGCCUACUUUUGAAUUAAAUGCUAAAUAGCAGUAUUAUACAUUUUGGGAAAAUAUUCAAAAAAUAAAAUACCCUAGAAUGGAGUUUCUUGGCAGCUCUGUACUAAUUUUAAUAGUUCUUGAAUCUCCUUUUUCACCUUAGAAAUUUUAGUCACACUUUAAAAAUCUGGGCAAAAUAUAUGUCCAGCAAACAGCCAAGAGCCAGAUGUAUUAAAUGAUCAUAUUUACGCUCCCAAAAGAAAAUUCAAAAUGAAGCAUGUUGAUAAUAAACAUUUUGGACGUGAUGUUGGAGAACAAUUGCAACCUGCCCAGAUGUUCAGCUCGCCCAAAGGCUGCCUCCUUGGUGACUUGUUUCAUCUUGAGUCUAGAGAGACCAGGCUGGGGAAGAAAACCACCUCCAGCCAGCCGUUCCAGCACAGCCCCACUGGCCAAAGCACACACUCACACAAUGAAAACACUGAAACUUUUUCUUAAAACAAAUUUUUCUCCCAUUGUCAUGGUUCUGUAUAUUAACACAAAAUUUUCUUUUCUCAUAGGAGAGAUUAUUUCAUUCAAUAUUUUUUAUGAAUUAUUUACCAUUUGUACUUCAAUAGUAGCAGAAGACAAAAAAGGUCAUCUAAUACAUGGGAGAAACAUGGAUUUUGGAGUGUUUCUUGGGUGGAACAUAAAUAAUGAUACCUGGGUCAUAACUGAGCAACUAAAACCUUUAACAGUGAAUUUGGACUUCCAAAGAAACAACAAAACUGUCUUCAAGGCUUCAAGCUUUGCUGGCUAUGUGGGCAUGUUAACAGGAUUCAAACCAGGACUGUUCAGUCUUUCACUGAAUGAACGUUUCAGUAUAAAUGGUGGUUAUCUGGGUAUUCUAGAAUGGAUUCUGGGAAAGAAAGAUGCCAUGUGGAUAGGGUUCCUCACUAGAACAGUUCUGGAAAAUAGCACAAGUUAUGAAGAAGCCAAGAAUUUAUUGACCAAGACCAAGAUAUUGGCCCCAGCCUACUUUAUCCUGGGAGGCAACCAGUCUGGGGAAGGUUGUGUGAUUACACGAGACAGAAAGGAAUCAUUGGAUGUAUAUGAACUCGAUGCUAAGCAGGGUAGAUGGUAUGUGGUACAAACAAAUUAUGACCGUUGGAAACAUCCCUUCUUCCUUGAUGAUCGCAGAACGCCUGCAAAGAUGUGUCUGAACCGCACCAGCCAAGAGAAUAUCUCAUUUGAAACCAUGUAUGAUGUCCUGUCAACAAAACCUGUCCUCAACAAGCUGACCGUAUACACAACCUUGAUAGAUGUUACCAAAGGUCAAUUCGAAACUUACCUGCGGGACUGCCCUGACCCUUGUAUAGGUUGGUGAGCACACGUCUGGCCUACAGAAUGCGGCCUCUGAGACAUGAAGACACCAUCUCCAUGUGACCGAACACUGCAGCUGUCUGACCUUCCAAAGACUAAGACUCGCGGCAGGUUCUCUUUGAGUCAAAAGCUUGUCUUCGUCCAUCUGUUGACAAAUGACAGACCUUUUUUUUUUCCCCCUAUCAGUUGAUUUUUCUUAUUUACAGAUAACUUCUUUAGGGGAAGUAAAACAGUCAUCUAGAAUUCAUUGAGUUUUGUUUCACUUUGACAUUUGGGGAUCUGGUGGGCAGUCGAACCAUGGUGAACUCCACCUCCGUGGAAUAAAUGGAGAUUCAGCGUGGGUGUUGAAUCCAGCACGUCUGUAUGAGUAACGGGACAGUAAACACUCCACAUUCUUCAGUUUUUCACUUCUACCUACAUAUUUGUAUGUUUUUCUGUAUAACAGCCUUUUCCUUCUGGUUCUAACUGCUCUUAAAAUUAAUAUAUCAUUAUCUUUGCUGUUAUUGACAGUGAUAUAAUUUUAUUACAUAUGAUUAGAGGGAUGAGACAGACAUUCACCUGUAUAUUUCUUUUAAUGGGCACAAAAUGGGCCCUUGCCUCUAAAUAGCACGUUUUGGGGUUCAAGAAGUAAUCAGUAUGCAAAGCAAUCUUUUAUACAAUAAUUGAAGUGUUCCCUUUUUCAUAAUUACUCUACUUCCCAGUAACCCUAAGGAAGUUGCUAACUUAAAAAACCGCAUCCCAGGUUCUGUUAAUUUAGUAAAUAAACAAGUCAAAGACUUGUGGAAAAUAGGAAGUGAACCCAUAUUUUAAAUUCUCAUAAGUAGCAUUCAUGUAAUAAACAGGUUUUUAGUUUGUUCUUCAGAUUGAUAGAUAGUUUUAAAGAAAUUUUAGUAGUUACUAAAAUUAUGUUACUUUAUUUUUCAGAAAUCAAACUGCUUAUGAAAAGUACUAAUAGAACUUGUUAACCUUUCUAACCUUCACGAUUAACUGUGAAAUGUACGUCAUUUGUGCAAGACCGUUUGUCCACUUCAUUUUGUAUAAUCACAGUUGUGUUCCUGACACUCAAUAAACAGUCA
RNAcentral lists this small RNA (4947 nucleotides) under Pan troglodytes (chimpanzee). Its description in RNAcentral is "retained intron". The record is from RNAcentral. Lineage: Eukaryota; Metazoa; Chordata; Mammalia; Primates; Hominidae.